Molecule: ribosomal RNA, 292 nt
Filed under: uncultured bacterium
Lineage: Bacteria
Description: partial 16S ribosomal RNA
Rfam family: Bacterial small subunit ribosomal RNA
Source: RNAcentral
GUGCCAGCAGCCGCGGUAAUACGAAGGGGGCUAGCGUUGCUCGGAAUCACUGGGCGUAAAGCGCACGUAGGCGGCUUUCUAAGUCAGGGGUGAAAUCCUGGAGCUCAACUCCAGAACUGCCUUUGAUACUGGAGAGCUAGAGUCCGGAAGAGGUGAGUGGAACUGCGAGUGUAGAGGUGAAAUUCGUAGAUAUUCGCAAGAACACCAGUGGCGAAGGCGGCUCACUGGUCCGGUACUGACGCUGAGGUGCGAAAGCGUGGGGAGCAAACAGGAUUAGAUACCCCCGUAGUCC